CUAGUCUGUUUACACAAUUCAGCUUUCUUUGCUAGAGAAGCACUGUCCUGUUCAAUCAUUUUCAGCACUAGGUUGACACCCUGGCCCAUCCCUGAGAAAUCAGAUGAAGUUGACAGAGGGAGGGACUAANNNCUAGAGGGAAAAAAUGAAAAGAGGGGGUUUGGUUUGGGGAUCCUGAUUUGUCAAAUUAUUAGAUCAAAAC
This 202-nucleotide unclassified non-coding RNA is filed under the name Hevea brasiliensis (rubber tree). Lineage: Eukaryota; Viridiplantae; Streptophyta; Magnoliopsida; Malpighiales; Euphorbiaceae. The record is from RNAcentral.